RNAcentral lists this long non-coding RNA (928 nucleotides) under Homo sapiens (human). Its description in RNAcentral is "non-protein coding ZNF426-DT:2". The record is from RNAcentral. Lineage: Eukaryota; Metazoa; Chordata; Mammalia; Primates; Hominidae.
AUUUACGCUCUCCGCCUCGGGCCAGGCGGGGUUUCGGGACUAGGGUUUCUGCCGUGUAAUACCUCCUCGAGGCAGAAAAAUUCUACUUUCCAUCUGCUUGGCUGCGGAGGACCUUGGGGUGGGCUCAGCGUGGGGGCUGCAGGCAGAAAUGGGUCCAGAAGGCAAGGUCGAGGUUAGAGCCAAGCCUGUGGGCAGGGCUACGGGCAGGGGGCGGGGAGGAAUGUGGGUCCAGGCCCAGAGGAAAAGGUUGAAGUUAUAGCCAGGCCUGUGGGCGAGGCCGCAGCAGGGCGGCCAUAGGGGAAGGAGCCAAUGUGUUAUGCAUGUAGAAAAUAGACAAAAUCUCACUCUGUCACCAAGGCUGGAGUUCAGUGGAGCCAUCUCAGCUCACUGCAACCUCCACCUCCCAGGUUCAAGCGAUUCUCCUGCCUCAUCCUCCCAAGUAGCUGGAAUUACAGGUGCAUGCUGCCACACCCUGCUAAUUUUUGUAUUUUUAGUAGAGGCAGGGUUUUGCCAUGCUGGCCAGGCUGGUCUUGAACUACUUGUCAGGCCUCUGAGCCCAAGUUAAAUCAUCAUAAACCCUGUCACCUGCACGUAUACAUCCAGAUGGCCUGGAGCAACUGAAGAACCACAAAAGAAGUGAAACAGCCAGUUCCUGCCUUAACUGAUGACGUUCCACCAUUGUGAUUUGUUGCUGCCCCACCCCAACUGAUCUCUUGACCUUGUGACAUUCUUCUUCUGGACGAGUCUCAGGAGUUCCCCACCGAGCACCUUGUGACCCCCGGCCCUGCCAGCAAAAGAUAACCACCUUUAACUUUCCACUACCUACCCAAAUCCUAUAAAACUGCCCCACCCCUAUCUCCCUUUGCUGACCCCUUUCUCGGACUCAGCCCACUUGCACCCAAGUGAAUAAACAGCCUUGUUGCUAACA